GAUGAACGCUGGCGGCGUGCUUAACACAUGCAAGUCGAACGAUGAAGCCCAGCUUGCUGGGUGGAUUAGUGGCGAACGGGUGAGUAACACGUGAGUAACCUGCCCUUAACUCUGGGAUAAGCCUGGGAAACUGGGUCUAAUACCGGAUAGGAGCGUCCACCGCAUGGUGGGUGUUGGAAAGAUUUAUCGGUUUUGGAUGGACUCGCGGCCUAUCAGCUUGUUGGGGAGGGAAUGGCUCACCAAGGCGACGACGGGUAGCCGGCCUGAGAGGGUGACCGGCCACACUGGGACUGGGACAAGGCCCAGACUCCUACGGGAGGCAGCAGUGGGGAAUAUUGCACAAUGGGCGCAAGCCUGAUGCAGCGACGCCGCGUGAGGGAUGACGGCCUUCGGGUUGUAAACCUCUUUCAGUAGGGAAGAAGCGAAAGUGACGGUACCUGCAGAAGAAGCACCGGCUAACUACGUG
RNAcentral lists this ribosomal RNA (466 nucleotides) under uncultured bacterium. RNAcentral describes it as "partial 16S ribosomal RNA". It matches the Rfam family "Bacterial small subunit ribosomal RNA", at positions 28 to 507 of the family's 1533-position model. The record is from RNAcentral.